CCACCCCUCUCUCAUCUUACACCCUAGCUGCCCCUCUUUCAUUUAACACUCUAUCCGCCCUACUCUCGCUACACUCUUCCAUCCGCCCUAUUUUUCAUACACUCCUCUAUCAACCCCUAGAGUCCGGACCUGUACUAUAGGCAUGUCUAUUGUCCCUUGACCCCAUUCACCUCAUUUUCUCUCAUUUUAGAUACUCUCUUCUCUCUCUAAGUCAUGACCCUUUUUGUUCAUUUCAUUUUAUUUUCAUCUUUAUUUCAUUGUUUUCUUCAAUCACUCUCUUACUCAUUGCUUCUUUCACUCUUGAGCACUCGAUUCGGGGUCGUCCUGAGAUAAUGCCCUAGGGUUCUAACUCUAGAAUUACUACUCUAACCAUCAGCUCGUACAGUGUAGUCGAUUCAUAAGAGACACUGAUUCUCUUAUACUCGAUCACUCGGGUUGGGGUUAGCCUGAGUCAGUUUUCUUUAGAGUUUUAACUCUUUCACUACUCUAACCACAGAGUCACACAGUGUUUGGGUUGUGAGAGACUUUCAUCUCUCUCUCUCUCUCUCUCUCUCUUUCUCUCUUACUUUCUUUUAUCCCUUGAUCACUUUUAGGGGUUUUUUGGGUUAGUGAAAUAGUUAUAGGCUCAGUCAUGUAACUCCACUUUUUAAAUCCUCCGGGUACCAAGGCUUCAAGCCUGGUGCUUUCUUUAAUCUCUGGUAAUACCUCUUAAGAGAGGUUAUGCCAGGAGGCUACCCAAUUUUAUUUGGGUCAACCUUUGACUUCUUUUUACUUUGUUUUCUUCGUCUUCAUUUUCUUCUCACUUCUAAAAUAAGUUCUCAUCAAGUUCUUAUUCUUAGUCUCUUCUUUAUCUUAUCUCUUACUUAUUUCUCCUCCUACUCUACCCCCAAAACUAGAGCCAUUUACCCAUAAGAAGCACACCAAAGAGAAGUAAAUUAUAUUUGGAUUUCAUUAGUAGCUUUUCAGUGAGAGUUGAGGUGAAGUGUCGAGUUUAGAGAGGGGGCCAAUUUCAAACCGCACUGUUGGACAGCUGGAAGGCUUUCAUUCACUGGUCUAAGAGGGAAAUAGCCCAGGCUUAUCCCACGAACACAAACUGCGGUGAGGUAGGUGCUUGAGUCCAUCUCUUUAUUGUUUUAAAUCCUCUUAUAGUUGGACAUACCUAUCCGCACGUAACACAAGGGUCGUACACACACUUGUGAGGUCAGGUGGUUGUUCAAGAAGGGGUCAAUCGAACCUGGGUCCUCGAGGGAGCCCAAGCGAGGUAGUUCCAGGCCUGACCAGCAAUGGCUACAUUCUACUUUACACAUAUGGCCAUCCACCGUCUGUUUGUAAGACGGACAUUGGAGAUGAACCAUGCAUGGCAUGGCAUUCAUCCCUUAGAACAGGUCACCAUUCAUGACAAGAAUGGAUAGUGGAUGGCCUGCCUGUUGAUAUUGUAGCAUACCCAUUGUGUAAACAGUAUUACUUCCCCAAAUUUGAUAGAAUGUCCCUUUGUUGGAAUGAGUAAGGAAGACCACACCUCUCCAUUUUUUUGUUCUAAAAGCUUCAGUUUCUAAUUUUUAUUGAUAUUUCCUAACAACUGAAUUUCUUAGAUUCGAAACUCCUCCCUCAAAUUCUGCUGCAGACUGAGGUUUUGAUAAGUUGGUUAGUCUAUAAAGCAUGGACCUCAAUCACUGCAUGGAUUAUGCCUCUGCCCUAAUU
RNAcentral lists this long non-coding RNA (1701 nucleotides) under Amborella trichopoda. Its description in RNAcentral is "long non-coding RNA (ATRI_LNC005176)". The record is from RNAcentral. Lineage: Eukaryota; Viridiplantae; Streptophyta; Magnoliopsida; Amborellales; Amborellaceae.